UAACUAUUAAUUUAAAAAAAAAAUAUUAAUUUUGUAAAUUAAAAAUAUAUAUAUAUAAAAUAUAUAGUUAA
RNAcentral lists this transfer RNA (71 nucleotides) under Necremnus tutae. RNAcentral's name for it is "tRNA-Thr". Lineage: Eukaryota; Metazoa; Arthropoda; Insecta; Hymenoptera; Eulophidae. The record is from RNAcentral.